UAAGUGAUGGCGACCGGCGCACGGGUGAGUAACACGUAUCCAACCUGCCGAUAACUCGGGGAUAGCCUUUCGAAAGGAAGAUUAAUACCCGAUGGUAUAAUAAAGCCGCAUGGUUUAAUUAUUAAAGAAUUUCGGUUAUCGAUGGGGAUGCGUUCCAUUAGGCAGUUGGUGAGGUAACGGCUCACCAAACCUUCGAUGGAUAGGGGUUCUGAGAGGAAGGUCCCCCACAUUGGAACUGAGACACGGUCCAA
RNAcentral lists this ribosomal RNA (251 nucleotides) under uncultured bacterium. RNAcentral's name for it is "partial 16S ribosomal RNA". It matches the Rfam family "Bacterial small subunit ribosomal RNA", at positions 81 to 334 of the family's 1533-position model. The record is from RNAcentral.